Molecule: ribosomal RNA, 668 nt
Filed under: Lactococcus garvieae
Lineage: Bacteria; Bacillati; Bacillota; Bacilli; Lactobacillales; Streptococcaceae
Description: bacterial SSU rRNA
Rfam family: Bacterial small subunit ribosomal RNA
Source: RNAcentral
UGUAAAGGACUACCAAGGCGAUGAUACAUAGCCGACCUGAGAGGGUGAUCGGCCACACUGGGACUGAGACACGGCCCAGACUCCUACGGGAGGCAGCAGUAGGGAAUCUUCGGCAAUGGGGGCAACCCUGACCGAGCAACGCCGCGUGAGUGAAGAAGGUUUUCGGAUCGUAAAACUCUGUUGUUAGAGAAGAACGUUAAGUAGAGUGGAAGAUUACUUAGGUGACGGUAUCUAACCAGAAAGGGACGGCUAACUACGUGCCACCAGCCGCGGUAAUACGUAGGUCCCAAGCGUUGUCCGGAUUUAUUGGGCGUAAAGCGAGCGCAAGUGGUUUCUUAAGUCUGAUGUAAAAGGCCCCGGCUCAACCAUUGAGUGCUUUGGAAACUGGGAGACUUGAGUGCAGGAGAGGAAAGUGGAAUUCCAUGUGUAGCGGUGAAAUGCGUAAAUAUAUGGAAGAACACCCGAGGCGAAAGCGGCUUUCUGGACUGUAACUGACGUUGAAGCUCGAAAGUGUGGGGAGCAAACAGGAUUAGAUACCCUGGUAGUCCACACCGUAAACGAUGAGUGCUAGAUGUUCGAAGGUUUCCGCCCUUGAGUGUCGCAACUAACGCAUUAAGCACUCCGCCUGGGGAGUACCACCGCAAGGGUGAAACUCAAAGGAAUUGACG